GAUGAACGCUGGCGGCGUGCCUAAUACAUGCAAGUCGAGCGAACGGACAAGAAGCUUGCUUCUCUGAUGUUAGCGGCGGACGGGUGAGUAACACGUGGAUAACCUACCUAUAAGACUGGGAUAACUUCGGGAAACCGGAUCUAAUACCGGAUGAUAUUUUGAACCGCAUGGUUCAAAAGUGAAAGACGGUCUUGCUGUCACUUAUAGAUGGAUCCGCGCUGCAUUAGCUAGUUGGUAAGGUAACGGCUUACCAAGGCAACGAUGCAUAGCCGACCUGAGAGGGUGAUCGGCCACACUGGAACUGAGACACGGUCCAGACUCCUACGGGAGGCAGCAGUAGGGAAUCUUCCGCAAAGGGCGAAAGCCUGACGGAGCAACGCCGCGUGAGUGAUGAAGGUCUUCGGAUCGUAAAACUCUGUUAUUAGGGAAGAACAUAUGUGUAAGUAACUGUGCACAUCUUGACGGUACCUAAUCAGAAAGCCACGGCUAACUACGUG
This 497-nucleotide ribosomal RNA is filed under the name uncultured bacterium. Its description in RNAcentral is "partial 16S ribosomal RNA". It matches the Rfam family "Bacterial small subunit ribosomal RNA", at positions 28 to 507 of the family's 1533-position model. The record is from RNAcentral.